UCGGGGAUCAUCGUGUCACGAGA
RNAcentral lists this microRNA (23 nucleotides) under Callithrix jacchus (white-tufted-ear marmoset). Its description in RNAcentral is "cja-miR-542-5p". Its record names the gene cja-miR-542-5p. Lineage: Eukaryota; Metazoa; Chordata; Mammalia; Primates; Cebidae. The record is from miRBase by way of RNAcentral.